Molecule: long non-coding RNA, 2895 nt
Organism: Neopsephotus bourkii (Bourke's parrot)
Lineage: Eukaryota; Metazoa; Chordata; Aves; Psittaciformes; Psittacidae
Exons: 2
Source: RefSeq, a predicted model, not a curated record
CUGCCUGAAAGCAGACAAGAGGAACAAAGUAUGCAUCUGUUUCUUGAAGAUAUCACUUCUUUUUUUUUUCCCCUUAUCAGUCUCUUCUUCACACUUUCACAUCCGUUAUUGUAUUUACUGGGUCCACAUUGUGUGUUUAUAGAUACAUUUGUAUCCUUGAGUUCCAAACAACAGAGAGGUACAAUUUUUAACUAGAUUUACUUUAGUUGUUUUGCUGUUGCAACACUAGCAUUUUAUGCUUGCCAUUUGCAGGAACAAGAAGGAGACAUAAUCCCUGUCUCCAAGGCAGUAUGAUCUCAGAUGCCAAACCUGGAAAUCUCAGGGCCCUUUAAUAGCUGUGCAAAGGUCUGAAGAUACGUGAAGAUGUGAUGGUGGUACUUGAAAUGGUAAGACCGAGGCUGCAUCUUCAUGUCUAUCUGCUUAGAAUGCUGCAAGACUUGUCUGGGCUGAUCUUGAACAAACCAGCUGGCAGACUGCAAGCAGUAGAGCUCAGGCCAGUAGGCUUGGUGACCAUUAUUGUGGAUACUUGGUAGUUCUCUUUAAGUAAUUUGCAUCCUGGUUAGUAGCUGUCAUCAUCUUUGUUCCAAAAUCUGCCAAAUGCUGGUCGGAAGUGGAGUGAAUACAACUUGUAGCUUCUUAAGGUAUUCUUAAGAACACUUGACAGAAUGGAUCCUUAUACCAAAAGUACAGCAUUCAGAGAAAGAAAUUAAUGCUCAGAUACAUAUUCUCUUGAGAAAGUAAAAUCAGACAUAAGGCAAUUGCUUAUGAGUUAUUAUUUGGUACACCUUAGUUUCAGAUUCUGGCCUUUAACUCUGUAAAUGUAUAGACAUGCAUAAUGAUCUGUGAAUCAUCCUAACAACGUUCUUGUUAUCAGAUUAUAAUAACGUUGGGCUGGUCCUGCAAAGGGAUAUUAUUACCCAGUAUUGAGAGCUAAGUUUUAUAUGAAAAAGCAGCUCAACACUCACCAGAAAGCCACUAACCAGCGUUAGCCAUAACAGUAAUCUAUCAGUACUUGCACUUGUGAACUAAAUGAAAGACUUGUGUUGCUCCUGUGGGAAGCAGAAGUCCUGUUCACAGCUGGGACACAGCAUAUAAUUCCAUCAAGGCCAAUACAACUUGUAUCACCACUUGAGUUUGGUUCUAUGGAAUUAUUACCUAAAAACUCCUCUUAAACCUAAACCCCGACCCCCCAUCAGUGGUUGCUCAUUUGCUAAGCAGAAAACUUAAGUGUUUUCCUGGUUGCAAAACCAUCAAAUGAACACAAAUGGCAUUAUGAGCUAGUAUGGUGUUUAGAUUGAAAAAUAUUUUGAGGUAGAUAAUACCUCCACCUCUCUAAAUCUUGUUGUAUGUCAGAAAGCUCUAUGGCUUCCCCAUGGAAAAAUAUUGCUAUCCUAUGAAUUUCAGCUAAAAUGAAGUGUCUAGGAAAUAACAAGACUUAUGGACACAGACACUGAACUCCUUUUAGACCACAACCCUUUAUCUCACUAAAAGUGGCACGUGGUGAGAUUAGUGAUGUGAUAACUCACACAACUCUGGUCUUCAAUGUGCUCCUUAGCCAUUUCUCAUCUCCAGCCACUCUGACUUGCAUUUCUUUUUCUCUGGAAAAUGUCAAAGAAUUCAUAGAUCAAAAAACAGGAGUUGACACAAAGAUAGAGGUGAUGGAUCUAAGAAAUGAUUGAAUUGAGGAAUUAGGUGGGAAGUAAGGAUUUAGAGUCCACAACUAUUCCCCUUAUGCAAAUUUCUCAAACUUCCUGCACUUACUACUAUUAGACUUGGCCAGUCUUUACUCAGAAGCCCACUGAUAUUUACAUCUUAGAGAUGAAAAGUGUUUAUUUCAUCAUUUGGAUGGGAUUUCUUCUCCAAUGUCAGUAGUAAAUCAAAGAAUUACCUAGUGUUAGGAAGCGCUGUGCUACUAAAAACAUUGCUUUGUCAUUGAAAUAUGUCCAUUAGUACUCCUGUGACUAGUCUGUUGAAUUAUAAACUAACGGAAUCUGAAUAACUGUCUUGCCAUACUGCAGGGAAAGGUAAUGUUGCUCCUGCUUAGUAUCACCUAAGGCUUUUGUGCCAAGGCAUCACACUGGAACUCGGUAUUGACUGAUAACUAACAGUGAAUUUAAAGUGCUGUCACAGUCAUCUUGCUCAGCUUCCAGACCCAGGUGGCCAAAGCAUGUAAGAAGAGAUCCACCAGAGAUGGCACAAAGCCAAGGGAUUUUUUUACCUUUUUUUUUUUAAUCUAUCCCUGUUUGUUUAGGACAGGAGAUAAAAUGUGUUUGUAAACCAGAGAGGUUGCUGCAGGUGCAGAGGACUCUGUUCCAGCUGGCAUUCGGAAAGAUCAGUUACCUACAUCAAAGCUGUUCUGCUGCCUUUGCUGUCUGGUUGCUUGUUUCUGAGGCUGCACAGGAACUCUACACACAAAGUGAAUUAAAAAGAGCAAGGUUCUGUGUUCAAUACCCUCUUCAAGUGGGCAAUCUAGUCAUUAACACCGACAUCCUAAGUUCUCUUAAAGCUGAUCAGGUCACGGGACAAUGUGAAAUGCUUUUGACAUUAAAAUGAGACUUGGCAAUGCUAUACUAUUCUCGAUUGAGAAAGCAAGUGAAUUCAUGUAAUCUGAUGCUAUAAUUUAUGUAGCUUGCAUUUCUUUUUAAGUUGUUGAUUUGGAAUGAAUGGAUUAAUACACAAACCAUCUGAGAUUGUUACUGAAUUUAUUGUAAUCAAUAUUACCCUGCAAUAUUUUCCUCUUGCCUGUGAAGCAUUAAAAUGCUAAAGGGUGCCAACACGUGGUGUUAGCAGGGUGUUAUGACAGGAAUACUACAAAUGUUUGUACAGGUUGUCACCAAUAUUUGAAGCCACUUGUAAAAACAGCACCUUAAUAUAACACAUUAUUACCAUACCCUA